AACGUAGGAGGCGAGCGUUAUCCGGAUUUACUGGGCGUAAAGCGUGUGCAGGCGGUUUGAUAAGUUGGAUGUGAAAGCUCCUGGCUUAACCGGGAGAGGUCGUUCAAAACUAUCAGACUAGAGAGUGGUAGAGGGAGAUGGAAUUCCGCGUGUAGUGGUGAAAUGCGUAGAUAUGCGGAGGAACACCAGUGGCGAAAGCGGUCUCCUGGCCCAUUUCUGACGCUCAGACACGAAAGCUAAGGUAGCAAACAGGAUUAGAAACCCUAUAGUCC
RNAcentral lists this ribosomal RNA (272 nucleotides) under uncultured bacterium. RNAcentral describes it as "partial 16S ribosomal RNA". It matches the Rfam family "Bacterial small subunit ribosomal RNA", at positions 524 to 796 of the family's 1533-position model. The record is from RNAcentral.